RNA transcript from Zalophus californianus (California sea lion), 1092 nucleotides. It is a transcript of the gene named Golgi phosphoprotein 3-like, with no coding region annotated. The record is from RefSeq and is a predicted model, not a curated record. The transcript has a single exon. NCBI's taxonomy places the organism in Eukaryota, Metazoa, Chordata, Mammalia, Carnivora, Otariidae.
CAGAAACAGGUGAGAAUGACCACUUUAACUCACCGGGCUCAUCGCACUGAAGUAGGCAAGAACUCUGAAAAGAAGUUGGAAAGUGAGGAAGACACUAAUCAAGACAGGAGCCCAGACCAUGAAGACUCUGGUGACUCUAAGGAUAUUCACCUCACCCUUAUGGAAGAAGUAUUGCUCCUGGGACUAAAGAUAAAGAGGGCUACACAUCUUUCUGGAAUGACUGCGUAUCAUCUGGCCUGCGAGGGGUAUCCUGAUAGAGCUGGCCAUGCAGGGCUGCAUCUAUCCGGAACCCCCCACGAUGCGUAAGAAGCAACUACUAGACAGAAAGUACUGCUAAAGUCAGAUAGCCCAACAGGGGAUGUGUUACUGGAUGAAACUCUCAAACACAUCAAAGCAACUGAACCCACAGAAACCAUCCAGACAUAGAUAGAGCUACUCACAGGUGAGACCUGGAACCCCUUCAAAUUACAGUACCAGCUGAGAAAUGUAAGAGAGCGAAUUGCAAAGAACCUAGUAGAAAAGGGUAUUCUAACCACUGAGAAGCAGAAUUUCCUCCUAUUUGAUAUGACUACUCAUCCAGUGACCAAUACAACAGAGAAACAACGACUAGUCAAAAAAUUUCAAGAUAGUGUCCUAGAGCAGUGGGAAAAUGACCCUCAGCAUAUGGACAAGCAAACAUUAGCACUCCUGGUGCUAGCCCACUCCUCUGAUGUGCUAGAGAAUGUCUUAUCCUCUCUGACUGAUGACAAGUAUGAUGUGGCAAUGAAUCGAGCCAAGGAUCUACUAGAACUGGACCCUGAAGUGGAGGGGACAAAGCACAGUGCCACGGAGAUGAUCUGGGCUGUGCUGGCAGCCUUCAAUAAAUCCUAAAGCCAGUGGGUGGGUUUCUCCUUUUCCCCUGCUGGCUGGUGACUGUCAGAGACAUCACACUGAGUUUUGUGUGAUGAGAUGUUUUUCAUCAUUUUUUUCCUUCUCUUGAAUCAGAUUUGUGAUUUGGGGAGAGCAGCUUCAGGGCUUCUCCAUAAACUUUGGCCAUUGUAAACAGACUUUAUUUCUCCUUAUUUUUCCACGACAGAGGUGAAUAAACUAGGU